CUUACCGAGGUAGUGCGCUACCGUAAGGAGGCAGCUAACCACGGUAGGGUCAGCGACUGGGGUGAACUCGUUAACAAGGUAGCCGUAGGGGAACCUGCGGCUGGAUCACCUCCUUUCUAAGGAAGCUGUGGAAUUGGUAAGACGAUCGGCCUGAUCUUCGGAUCUCCCCGAUAUGAACCUUCCCGUGCUUUUUAGAACAUAGAUGGCACCAGUCAGGUGACCAUCGAAACGCAAUACGCCACGGAAAUGCUUUUGCAUUCGGAUGGUAUGGCGAGCUGCGCCGUCCACGUUUCUCUUUCUUCAAGAAGACAAAGAACCGCGUCGAUCCAGUUUAGGCUGGACCGGUUUGACGAGAAUUUUGCUUUUGUGAGUGGGGUUGGGAAAGAACGGCAGACGCGGAAAGUUGCCGAACCUGGAGCAAUCCGGGCGAUCGAGCUGAAAUCGAUUGGUGUCGAGACUGACGGCGAUGAUGUCUUCUGAAGAAAAACAAAGUUUGCACGACGCAACAGCGUCUGUGCCUGUUCUGCCUAUAUCGUGAAGAGAAGAUUGAUCCGGAUGAGCAUCUGAUGCUCAUGCCUGAAGGAUCGUUUGUUGUUCGGGGCUUGCCCCGUCUGACAGGCGAUCUGGUUGAUGUUGCCUGACCGCGCGUCAUCGGAUUUAUCUCGAGAAGCUGGUCUUAAGGUAUGGCCCGGAUGUCGCUCGGCGUGACAUCUUUAUGAGGGACCAUACCGAACACGUCGAUGGCAUCAUGAAUGGUCGGUUGUAAAAGGUAACCGUGCCUCUGGUUCGGCAAGCUCAGGUUUGUCCGGAUAGUCGAUUUGGAACCCCUUCGAGCGCAAGCGAGGAGGAUAGGCAUUCCAAAUCCAGUAAAUGAUGAGCAUUGGCAAUGAGAACGAUUAAGUGUAGUAAGGGCAUUUGGUGGAUGCCUUGGCAUGCACAGGCGAUGAAGGACGUGUUACGCUGCGAUAAGCCGUGGGGAGCUGCGAAUGAGCUUUGAUCCAUGGAUCUCCGAAUGGGGCAACCCACCUUAAAUGCUUGGAAAAUCCAAACUGACUGCAAGGUCGGCUUGGGUUUCCAAGCAUUGAGAUAAGGUAUCUUACCUUCGAAUAGAUAGGGGUAAGAAGCGAACGCAGGGAACUGAAACAUCUAAGUACCUGCAGGAAAGGACAUCAACCGAGACUCCGCAAGUAGUGGCGAGCGAACGCGGACCAGGCCAGUGGCAUUGGUGGUUAAAGCGGAACACUCUGGAAAGUGUGGCCGUAAGCGGGUACAGCCCCGUACGC
Molecule: small RNA, 1283 nt
Filed under: Rhizobium leguminosarum bv. trifolii
Lineage: Bacteria; Pseudomonadati; Pseudomonadota; Alphaproteobacteria; Hyphomicrobiales; Rhizobiaceae
Description: bacterial LSU rRNA
Rfam family: Bacterial large subunit ribosomal RNA (bases 896-1283)
Source: RNAcentral